CAACCCUCAAGCUCUGCUUGGUAUUGGGCGUCACUGGAGACAGCGCGCCUUAAAAUCAGUGGCGGUGCCAUCCAGCUUCAAGCGUAGUAACUCUUCUCGCUUCUGGGGCCUGGGUGCACACCUGCCAGCAACCUCAAUUUAUCAAA
RNAcentral lists this unclassified non-coding RNA (146 nucleotides) under uncultured Helotiales. RNAcentral describes it as "sequence contains ITS2". The record is from RNAcentral. Lineage: Eukaryota; Fungi; Ascomycota; Leotiomycetes; Helotiales.